CGCGGGUUUUUAAGGAAUGAGAGAGAAACUGGAGGACAAGGAGGAUCCGCUAUUACAAAUUCGACAUGCAGGAGAGAGAAAAUGUCUAACAUUUAAUGGUAGAGGUACCCUGGGUACCAGAACCUCCAGACUCUCGUGUCGCUCAGCCAAAAUGUCACUGAACGAGAAAAGUCUGGAGUCUGUGGUACCCAGGUUUGGGAGAGGUAGAGAUUCAGAAAUCAAUGAGAGAAUAUGGGAUAUUUCAGGGGCUGCCCCUGCUUUUGUACAUAUAUAAAACUGUGUAGGCCUGAAAAGAAUAAUAUUUAAAUAUUUAAAAACCCCGCAUUGGGGGUUUGUCAUAUCGUAUCGGCAAUUAUGGGGAUAGCAAGCUUAAUCCUUCGUCUGCAUAUCUUAAUGAUUUUCUUUUCCUUCGAAGUAUCUUCUCAAACUUGCUCAGUUAAAUCCGCCCCAAAAGAGAGACCCACGAAAAAGUUCAACAAAGUUAACAAAUCGUUUCUUAACGGUACCGUUUUUCACGAGUUGCAUGUUAAAGAUGCGAUGGAGUGUGGGUUAUCGUGCUUGCAAGAAGAUCUGUGUGCUUCCUAUAACAUGGCACGGAAACCAUCGCCAGGGCUUCGCUACAUUUGCGAGUUGCUAUCUAUUCGAAUUGGUGAUCUUGGCGCAGAGCUGGUGAAGAACGACACCUUUGACCACUUCAGUACUAAGUUCCACUGCUAUGCAGACAAUGGUCGAGAUGCAUAGGACUUCUGUGUGGGCACGUGUCGUGACAUUAAACUCAGUCACCCGCCAGCCCCCAGCGGAUAUUACGUCAUCGACCCCUCAGGUGAUCUUGGAGAACCACCUUUUCCUGUAG
This is a long non-coding RNA of Nematostella vectensis (starlet sea anemone), 853 nucleotides long. RefSeq lists it as uncharacterized. The record is from RefSeq and is a predicted model, not a curated record. Lineage: Eukaryota; Metazoa; Cnidaria; Anthozoa; Actiniaria; Edwardsiidae. The transcript has 3 exons.